Molecule: ribosomal RNA, 424 nt
Filed under: uncultured bacterium
Lineage: Bacteria
Description: bacterial SSU rRNA
Rfam family: Bacterial small subunit ribosomal RNA
Source: RNAcentral
AUAUUGCGCAAUGGGGGAAACCCUGACGCAGCAACGCCGCGUGAGUGAGGAAGGUCUUCGGAUUGUAAAACUCUUUUGCUAGGGAAAAAUGUGCUUAUGGUUAAUACCCAUUAGCAGUGAUGGUACCUAAAGAAUAAGGACCGGCUAACUUCGUGCCAGCAGCCGCGGUAAUACGAAGGGUCCAAGCGUUGUUCGGAAUCAUUGGGCGUAAAGCGCGCGCAGGCGGAUCAGCAAGUCAGAUGUGAAAUCUCGAAGCUCAACUUCGAAACUGCGUCUGAAACUGCUAGUCUAGAAUGUCGGAGGGGGCAGGGGAAUUUCACGUGUAGGGGUAAAAUCCGUAGAGAUGUGAAGGAACACCGGAGGCGAAGGCGCCUGCCUGGACGACUAUUGACGCUGAGGCGCGAAAGCGUGGGGAGCAAACAGG